UCGAGGAGGCACAUGGUGGUGCAAGAAUUCGCCGAACCAAUUCCCGGGUCGACGUCAUCUCUACAGCAGCAGCCGAGUUUGGAGUUCAGCCAACAAGCGUCUGAUUAUUCGUCGUCAGCACUAGAAUAUGUGCCAACUGCAAGCGGUCUGUUGCCACCGAGUCCAGCGCCAGUGUCCACCGCCACACUCCUGCACCCCGCCGAAUCAGAGAGUCGCUCUCGUUCGCCUGCUCCGUCGCACUCCAAAAAGCGCCGGCUCCUUCAAGUGUGGUUUCCUCAAACCGUCGCGCUCCAAACCACCCUCGAUACAUGUCCCUCCGUUGGGGCAGCGUUCGCCGACGUGAACAGAGACCCCAUUGCCACAUCUGACACCGGGCCCCGUACUAGCGCCAUCUCUACCACUGGGACACGACACACCGUCUGGCCACCUUCCUGAAAGCACUCCACUUGUGUCUUUGCCACUCAAAAAAUGCUAACUCCAGAGAUCUGCAGCUGCCACCCAGACUCCGGUCGCCGGCCUUCACACUAUCGCGCAGCGGCCCGUAUCCCCGGAAUCGCUUGCGACAGCGGGCACUACAGAUGCAACUCCCCCCGCUCCAAACACAACCAACCUCACAGGGAGACCAUCGACGUCGACCAGUAUGCCUGGUGUACACCCGUCUAUACAGGCUCGUUCUCCAGAUUCUGGAGGAUGGCCUGUGUCGUGCGCCGCAACAAGAACACCGUUGAUUUCCUGUUCCUUGGAUGUAAGCUGACCUGAUGGUUGACUGUGUCUGGGCUUCCACUCCACAAGAUAGCGCCUGCAUGUUCCUCGACUCUUUGUCUGCACAUCAUACGGUGUUCGCCCCUCG
RNAcentral lists this long non-coding RNA (850 nucleotides) under Toxoplasma gondii VEG. The record is from RNAcentral. Lineage: Eukaryota; Apicomplexa; Conoidasida; Eucoccidiorida; Sarcocystidae.